Long non-coding RNA from Colias croceus (clouded yellow), 879 nucleotides. RefSeq lists it as uncharacterized. Lineage: Eukaryota; Metazoa; Arthropoda; Insecta; Lepidoptera; Pieridae. The record is from RefSeq and is a predicted model, not a curated record. The transcript is spliced from 3 exons.
GGCUCAAGUCUGCUAUUACAAUAGUGUCAGAAUGGUCUAUCAUUGAUUUCAAAAUUGUUGAUUUUGACAAGUUUGGUAAUCUACUAUUAUAAUGGUGUCAUUAUGACUUUCCAAUGGUCAACCACUGACAUUCCAUUGAAAGAAAUGGCUUAGAAUGGUAAUCUCGUACAUAAUGACAAAUGAAUGACUGACGUAUGGGGUAAUCUGCUAAAAUUUUGACAGUUCCUUUGAUCAUUGACCUACCAUUGGAUCGUCAUUGUGCAGUCAUUGCUUAUAAUAGCUCGGUUGUCGAAAAGAGUUUGUUAUCUAUCGUGUUUGUAUUGUACUUUGUGAAAUAUUGAGUGGAGAAAUGUAUUCACUACGAGCAAAUAUUCUCGAGCUAGCCGCAGUGGAUGCUAGAGAAAGAAGACGGGCGGAAUGCAAAAGACGUCGUCGAGCCCGUCGCUUGACGAGAAUUAGUACAAACCCCUUUAUUGAUAUUUCCGAGGCGGAAUUUGUAAAAACGUUUCGCCUUGGAAAGGACUCAGUAAGGGGGUUAAUUGAAGAACUCAUUCCCCUUAUGGCCAGACCGCGUCGAAACGAUAGCAUAUCGGCAGAAAUGAAGGUGUUUGCUUGUAGCACGUACUUUACAUUAUAGCCCAACAACUGCAGGCAAGAUUGUGAAUGCAUGUUGCAUAUUGCACAAUAUUGCAAACAUGGCAAGAGCACCGUUGCCACCUGAUGAGGUUUAUGCAGAAGCACUCCGCUUGCAACAGGAGGAAAAUAAUUAUGCAGCACCUAAUUAUCAAGACCAUCGAAGGGUGAACCGGGAUCUUCUUGAAGGUCGGGCACUGCAGCAGGCUCUUGUUGACAGACUGUGGAGAAAUGCAUAAAUUAAAU